This is a long non-coding RNA of Etheostoma spectabile (orangethroat darter), 103 nucleotides long. RefSeq lists it as uncharacterized. The record is from RefSeq and is a predicted model, not a curated record. Lineage: Eukaryota; Metazoa; Chordata; Actinopteri; Perciformes; Percidae. The transcript is spliced from 3 exons.
GCUAAGCAGCAUUAGUGCGAGCACUAGCGCUAAUACUGCUAGCACUAAUGUUGGCGACACAUCUGAGCCAGCACACCAGGGAGAAGGACAGGACAGUGAGGAA